RNAcentral lists this ribosomal RNA (200 nucleotides) under uncultured bacterium. Its description in RNAcentral is "partial 16S ribosomal RNA". It matches the Rfam family "Bacterial small subunit ribosomal RNA", at positions 30 to 230 of the family's 1533-position model. The record is from RNAcentral.
AUUGAACGCUGGCGGCAUGCCUUACACGCGCAAGUCGAACGGCAGCGCGGGAGCAAUCCUGGCGGCGAGUGGCGAACGGGUGAGUAAUACAUCGGAACGUGCCCAAUCGUGGGGGAUAACGCAGCGAAAGCUGUGCUAAUACCGCAUACGAUCUACGGAUGAAAGCAGGGGAUCGCAAGACCUUGCGCGAAUGGAGCGGC